RNAcentral lists this transfer RNA (65 nucleotides) under Trigonopterus ancora. Its description in RNAcentral is "tRNA-Asp". The record is from RNAcentral. Lineage: Eukaryota; Metazoa; Arthropoda; Insecta; Coleoptera; Curculionidae.
AAAAAUUUAGUUAAACUAUAACGUUAGCUUGUCAUGCUAAAAUUAUUGAACUACAAUAAUUUUUU